RNAcentral lists this ribosomal RNA (500 nucleotides) under uncultured bacterium. RNAcentral describes it as "partial 16S ribosomal RNA". It matches the Rfam family "Bacterial small subunit ribosomal RNA", at positions 30 to 523 of the family's 1533-position model. The record is from RNAcentral.
AUUGAACGCUGGCGGAAUGCUUUACACAUGCGAGUCGAACGGCAGCACGGACUUCGGUCUGGUGGCGAGUGGCGAACGGGUGAGUAAUGUAUCGGAACGUGCCCAGUCGUGGGGGAUAACGUAGUGAAAAUUACGCUAAUACCGCAUACGAUCUAUGGAUGAAAGCGGGGGAUCGCAAGACCUCGCGCGAUUGGAGCGGCCGAUAUCAGAUUAGGUAGGUGGUGGGGUAAAGGCCCACCAAGCCAACGAUCUGUAGCUGGUCUGAGAGGACGACCAGGCACGCUGGAACUGAGACACUGUCCAGACUCCUACGGGAGGCAGCAGUGGGGAAUUUUGGACAAUGGGCGAAAGCCUGAUCCAGCCAUUCCGCGUGCAGGAUGAAGGCCCUCGGGUUGUAAACUGCUUUUGUACAGAACGAAAAGGUUUCUACUAAUACUAGGAGCUCAUGACGGUACUGUAAGAAUAAGCACCGGCUAACUACGUGCCAGCCGCCGCCGUAA